UGUGACUCGAUCAGAUGUUUUACUGCAUCUAUUUAUUUGUUAAGAAGUGGCUUAAGAAGCAUUUACACAGAGAAAAAAAGAUCAGUUUCCACUGAUCAGCAGGGAAUUUUAGACCAUAAGUCAGUUAAUCCAUCUUCAAAUAGAGCAAGAGGAUGAAACUUGGAUCAUACAUUUACAUUAUAAGUUGUUGAUACAAAUGUGUAUGUAAACAUUUACUCUUUACUCCCUGUUAUCCACGUCUUUCAUUCAUGUCAGUUACUUGUUUUGUUUCUUUAUAUUGUAUGUUAAUAUUUUAUUUAUGUUCAAACAUGUUUCUGCCAUUAGACGCUGCUCAUCAGAAUCAUUUAAUGUGCAGGAUGAUUUCUGAGAAAAGUUGCUUUUGCAGGUUCCUCUUUCUUUGACACAUUUUCUAUUUUCAGAGGGAACAUUUUAAAAGAAAGGAAGUGUUUGUCUUUGCGAGUGCAGUGAUCACAAGAUACGUUAAAGGUGUUAAACUGAAGCAAAACCGCAACUAACACACACAGGAGCAGAGAUGAAAAGCUUCCUCUACGACACACUCACAUGAUAUGAAUAAGGCCUUUAAAGUGGAGCAGGAACAGAUCUCAAGCCGUCAGAGAGGAAGUUCAAAAGGAGCCUGAUGACGAGCAGCUGUGUGCAAACGUCUCCGAGCUUCUUUGAAUCAGAGGCCAGCUGUUAGUUUAUUGUGAAGCAGAACACCGGUUGUUGCAGCGUGGGGUCGGAGACUCCGUCAUGUCUCUCUUUGUGAUACUCGGGCUGCUCGUCUGCAUUCAGGCUCAAGGAACCAUUGUGACUCCUGUGUUUGUGCUGAAGGGACGUGAUCUGCUCCUCAAGCUUCAUGCUGAUCCUCCUGAGGGGGUUUUAUAUGUUGACUGGAAAAUCAAUGAAAACGUCACUUUAAAUGUACAAGAGGUCGACAGUGGAGUUUAUUCUGCUGAAGCAGAAACAGAUACAGGAGACAAACUAGUAGCUAAGUACAAGGUCACAGUUCAAGGGCCAGUGUCUCCAGUUGAACUGAUCGUGGACGGAGUGGACAACAGCUCAGAGUCAUGUGACCUCCAUGUGACCUGCAGCACUCACAACUCUCACAUCAGCAGCACUUUCAGAUGUGUCGACCGGGUCUGCAGU
Non-coding RNA from Gasterosteus aculeatus aculeatus (three-spined stickleback), 1146 nucleotides. The record is from RefSeq and is a predicted model, not a curated record. NCBI's taxonomy places the organism in Eukaryota, Metazoa, Chordata, Actinopteri, Perciformes, Gasterosteidae.